CUUCUCCUAGGUGCAGCCUGAACACACCUAAUCUCAUCUGCUCUUAGAAAGUAAGUAGGGUCAGGCCUGGAUAGCACUUGGAUGGGAGAAGU
This 92-nucleotide ribosomal RNA is filed under the name Amphilophus citrinellus (Midas cichlid). The record is from RNAcentral. Lineage: Eukaryota; Metazoa; Chordata; Actinopteri; Cichliformes; Cichlidae.